This 474-nucleotide ribosomal RNA is filed under the name uncultured bacterium. RNAcentral describes it as "bacterial SSU rRNA". It matches the Rfam family "Bacterial small subunit ribosomal RNA", at positions 28 to 507 of the family's 1533-position model. The record is from RNAcentral.
GAUGAACGCUAGCUACAGGCUUAACACAUGCAAGUCGAGGGGCAGCACGAGGUAGCAAUACUUUGGUGGCGACCGGCGCACGGGUGCGUAACGCGUAUGCAACCUACCUUUAACAGGGGCAUAACACUGAGAAAUUGGUACUAAUUCCCCAUAACAUUCGAGAAGGCAUCUUCUUGGGUUAAAAACUCCGGUGGUUAAAGAUGGGCAUGCGUUGUAUUAGCUAGUUGGUGAGGUAACGGCUCACCAAGGCAACGAUACAUAGGGGGACUGAGAGGUUAACCCCCCACAUUGGUACUGAGACACGGACCAAACUCCUACGGGAGGCAGCAGUGAGGAAUAUUGGUCAAUGGACGCAAGUCCGAACAGCCAUGCCGCGUGCAGGAAGACGGCUCUAUGAGUUGUAAACUGCUUUUGUACUAGGGUAAACGCUUCUACGUGUAGGAGCCUGAAGAAUAAGCACCGGNUAACUACGUG